Molecule: ribosomal RNA, 253 nt
Filed under: uncultured bacterium
Lineage: Bacteria
Description: partial 16S ribosomal RNA
Rfam family: Bacterial small subunit ribosomal RNA
Source: RNAcentral
GACAGAGGUGCCGAGCGUUAGGCGGAAUCACUGGGCUUAAAGCGUGUGUAGGCGGAUGGGUAAGUACCUUGUGAAAUCCCACGGCUCAACCGUGGAACUGCUCGGUAUACUGCUCGUCUUGAGCCAACUAGGGGCGACCGGAACAAACGGUGGAGCGGUGAAGUGCGUAGAUAUCGUUUGGAACGCCGAUGGUGAUAACAGGUCGCUGGGGUUGUGCUGACGCUGAGACACGAAAGCCAGGGGAGCGAACGGG